Molecule: long non-coding RNA, 833 nt
Filed under: Triticum aestivum (bread wheat)
Lineage: Eukaryota; Viridiplantae; Streptophyta; Magnoliopsida; Poales; Poaceae
Description: long non-coding RNA (TAES_LNC023031)
Source: RNAcentral
GUGGAUGGCGGGGAUACAGGCUGAGGGUAGCAAGCCUCCAAAUUGCCAGCGGAGCGACGCGCUACUCCAUCGUGGCAGCGGAGCGACGUCAGGCCGCCUGGGUGGAAUGAAGCGAGGAGGUAGCUGGUAGCACUCAUGCGGUUAUUGUCAUUCUUCAGGUAAGUCAUGGGAAAAAAUUUCUUUGAGACUGAUCUUUUUCUUCUCAAAUUAGAACCCUCUCUAAGCCUGCCACAUGCCAUCACCAAUCUUAAUUAACGCAUUAGGAGUCGUCUUCUUCUCCAAGCCUCUUUUUUUUUUUUUUGAAACGGUUCUCCAAGCCUCUUAUCUUCCCCGAUUCGAACUGAUUCCUGACAUGUGCUAAUUUUGCUCAUCAUCCGGUGGAUCAGUAUUGUUGCAAUCUCCCCUGUCGUCACCAUGGCCGCGUAAACCGUCAUACAGGUCCAGUUCUCAAUUGCAUGUCACCUACGUCUUCAGCGGACCAAGCUGAGCAUACACGAUCACGGGGCCUAUAUUUGGUUGCUUGGUACCAUUGAUACGUCGAUAGUACUUGGAUGACCAUUUCCUACAAAUAUAUACUCAACGCCUUGGAUAUUGUAGAUUUUGACGUUCACAUUGAGGACUACAUAUGAUCUGAUUCAGCUUUAAAAAGCAUCCACCGUUUGAGAAACCGACCUAGCUAGCCCUGGCUGGCCGGGGCUGGCCGUGCACCGGCUGAGUACAUUAUUUCAGAGAACGAUGAAUGGUCAUAUCUCCAGCAUGCUGGAUGGUCGCUUACUAAGUUUGAUAUUUAACUGUACCUUUGUGCUCAUCUUAACUGAAUAUUGAACUAUUUG